CUUGGUCAUUUAGAGGAAGUAAAAGUCGUAACAAGGUUUCCGUAGGUGAACCUGCGGAAGGAUCAUUCACAAUAAGUGUUUUAUGGCACUUUUUAAAUCCAUAUCCACCUUGUGUGCAAUGUCAGUCGAUCUUCUUCAUGGAGAUCGGCCAAACAUCAACCUUAUUUUUUAACUCUUUGUCUGAAAAAUAUUAUGAAUAAACAAUUCAAAAUACAACUUUCAACAACGGAUCUCUUGGCUCUCGCAUCGAUGAAGAACGCAGCGAAAUGCGAUACGUAAUGUGAAUUGCAGAAUUCAGUGAAUCAUCGAAUCUUUGAACGCAUAUUGCGCUCUUUGGUAUUCCGAAGAGCAUGCCUGUUUGAGUAUCAGUAAACACCUCAAAGCUUUUGGAUUUUUUUUGAAAGCUUUGGACUUGAGCAAUCCCAACGCCAAUCUUUUUCAGAUCGGCGGCGGGUUGCUUGAAAUGCAGGUGCAGCUGGACUUUCUCCUGAGCUAAAAGCAUAUUCAUUUAGUCCCGUCAAACGGAUUAUUACUUUUGCUGCAGCUAACAUAAAGGGAGUUUGACCGUAUUGGCUGACUGAUGCAGGAUUUUACAAGGGUCGGCAACGAUUCUUGUUAAACUCGAUCUCAAAUCAAGUAAGACUACCCGCUGAACUUAAGCAUAUCAAUAAGCGGAGGA
RNAcentral lists this ribosomal RNA (679 nucleotides) under uncultured fungus. RNAcentral describes it as "eukaryotic LSU rRNA". The stretch from base 215 to 368 matches the Rfam family "5.8S ribosomal RNA". The record is from RNAcentral. Lineage: Eukaryota; Fungi.